Molecule: ribosomal RNA, 156 nt
Filed under: Thaxterogaster ochroamarus
Lineage: Eukaryota; Fungi; Basidiomycota; Agaricomycetes; Agaricales; Cortinariaceae
Description: partial 28S ribosomal RNA
Rfam family: Eukaryotic large subunit ribosomal RNA
Source: RNAcentral
UGUGACCUCAAAUCAGGUAGGACUACCCGCUGAACUUAAGCAUAUCAAUAAGCGGAGGAAAAGAAACUAACAAGGAUUCCCCUAGUAACUGCGAGUGAAGCGGGAAAAGCUCAAAUUUAAAAUCUGACAGUCUUUGGCUGUCCGAGUUGUAAUCUA